AAGGUAAACGAUGUCUUGGAGAACAAAAGGCAAUUAUGGAAAAGGAGCAGGAGCACGGAAAGAUUAG
This is a non-coding RNA of Caenorhabditis elegans, 67 nucleotides long. NCBI's taxonomy places the organism in Eukaryota, Metazoa, Nematoda, Chromadorea, Rhabditida, Rhabditidae. The record is from Ensembl.